AGUGAACGCUGGCGGUAUGCCUAACACAUGCAAGUCGAACGGCAGCACAGUAAGAGCUUGCUCUUACGGGUGGCGAGUGGCGGACGGGUGAGGAAUACAUCGGAAUCUACUUUUUCGUGGGGGAUAACGUAGGGAAACAUACGCUAAUAUCGCAUACGACCUACGGGUGAAAGCAGGGGAUCGUCGGACCUUGCGCGAUUGAAUGAGCCGAUGUCGGAUUAGCUAGUUGGCGGGGUAAAGGCCAACCAAGGCGACGAUCCGUAGCUGGUCUGAGAGGAUGAUCAGCCACACUGGAACUGAGACACGGUCCAGACUCCUACGGGAGGCAGCAGUGGGGAAUAUUGGACAAUGGGCGCAAGCCUGAUCCAGCCAUACCGCGUGGGUGAAGAAGGCCUUCGGGUUGUAAAGCCCUUUUGUUGGGAAAGAAAAGCAGCAGGUUAAUACCCCGCUGUUCUGACGGUACCCAAAGAAUAAGCACCGGCUAACUUCGUG
RNAcentral lists this ribosomal RNA (492 nucleotides) under uncultured bacterium. RNAcentral describes it as "partial 16S ribosomal RNA". It matches the Rfam family "Bacterial small subunit ribosomal RNA", at positions 29 to 507 of the family's 1533-position model. The record is from RNAcentral.